Syngnathoides biaculeatus (alligator pipefish) is the source of this 456-nucleotide long non-coding RNA. RefSeq lists it as uncharacterized. Lineage: Eukaryota; Metazoa; Chordata; Actinopteri; Syngnathiformes; Syngnathidae. The record is from RefSeq and is a predicted model, not a curated record. The transcript has 4 exons.
CGCACAGCUCGUGCUGAAGCGGCAGGAUCAUGACACUUUCUUCUAUGAAAAAUUGGAGUACACAUACAAAAUGUGUAAAAACGUAUAUCAACGAUGUGAAGACUGCUUAACCCAAUUAGUGAGGGACCGCACAACUUGAGUACUCCCGUGACCCUCGUGAGGAUAAGUGGCACAGAAAAUGCAUCUAUCAAACAAGACUGCUAUAUGAAGACUAAGAAGCAUCACCGCCAUAAGGACAGAGCAGAACCAGACCACCGCCGUUGAAGGAAAAAAGGCUUUGAGCAGGUGAAAGGACCACCUGUGCGUCCAUCAGAUGAGUAUGGAUACUAUAUUCCCCAAAGGACCAACAUAUGUGUCAUCAUCAACCCUGAAAACAUAUAGUUGUUGCACCACCUAAUUCAUUACUUUGAGGUCCAUGACUGAGCAGAUUUUCCAGUCAGCAUUUUGCCUUGCUUA